This 184-nucleotide small RNA is filed under the name Gopherus agassizii (Agassiz's desert tortoise). Its description in RNAcentral is "TUC338 (ENSGAGG00000005529.1)". Lineage: Eukaryota; Metazoa; Chordata; Testudines; Testudinidae. The record is from RNAcentral.
GUGAAAAGCUCCAGUCUUAGAGAAAUUGAAUUUUUCUAUUUAUGCACAGAAGAGUUAACGCCUUAAUGCAAAAUUGCCUGCACACACUACCUCAGUACAUGUCUCAACCAUGAGCGUGUGAAUGGAUCACCCAUACGAAUGAGAGGUUGGUUGAGUUUUCGUGCCCAUUCAGUCCUUGGCCUCU